CGGGUGAGUAAUGUAUGGGGAUCUGCCUGAUGGCGGGGGAUAACUACUGGAAACGGUAGCUAAUACCGCAUAAUGACUGCGGACCAAAGCGGGGGACCUCCGGGCCUCGCGCCAUCAGAUGAACCCAUAUGGGAUUAGCUUGUAGGUAAGGUAACGGCUUACCUAGGCGACGAUCCCUAGCUGGUCUGAGAGGAUGAUCAGCCACACUGGGACUGAGACACGGCCCAG
This 228-nucleotide ribosomal RNA is filed under the name uncultured bacterium. RNAcentral's name for it is "partial 16S ribosomal RNA". It matches the Rfam family "Bacterial small subunit ribosomal RNA", at positions 103 to 334 of the family's 1533-position model. The record is from RNAcentral.